RNAcentral lists this long non-coding RNA (1902 nucleotides) under Gallus gallus (chicken). The record is from RNAcentral. Lineage: Eukaryota; Metazoa; Chordata; Aves; Galliformes; Phasianidae.
GGACUUUUGUCAUCUGCUGUCAGAGAACAAGGUAAAACCAGCAUGGUUAGUUUAAUAGUUGAUACUUAAAACAAAGAUGGAUUUGAAUAGUUGCUGUGGCUUCAAGCAGCAUGUUUGCGCUGUUCUGUCAAACCACACAACAGUUUCCAAACUACCUUAACUGCAGCAUCAGGGGAAGCUAUGUACUUGUUUCCUUGUAACCUUGUAAUUCAUACUGUCAGUUUACAUACUUUCAAUAAACAAAAUAAUUUCUGCAAGUGCUUUCAUUAAAUUAAAUUUCCUACUGUGACACCAGUCUUCUUCCCUGUACUUGCAUUGCAUGACUCUGUCUGAGGUUGGUAGUAAAGACUGAAAGGAAAAUAACAAACCAGGAUAACAAAGCAGCAACAGUUAAACCUGAGGCCAUUUAGGGUUCUGUCUUCAAAGCUGGAUGUCUAAGCAGAAAGAACAUGUGGUUUCAUUGAUUGAAUGCAGAUGAGGGGACGGGAACUUGUAACUUUUAAUUUUACUGGUGUUUCUGUCUCUCUUUGCAAACCUUUAGUGACUUAAUUCAACUCCAAGGAGGACCUAGCAAUGCCUUUUUAAAAAUCAAAACAUCAAGCAGCCAAGCAAGGUUUAAGAUAUACUUUGACUUGUCUUUGUUUUUGACUGCUCUAAGGGUGUGGGAAAGCCUCCUAAAGGUAGCUUCCAGUAUAGCUAGUGUACACACUUGUGUAAGAUCCUAAAAUCCUCAGCCUUAUGUCACAUAUACUGUGUUUUAUCCUGAAUUUCUUAGAAAAAUCCAAGCAGCUUUUGGUAUUGUCUCUGCCAGAACAGUUUUCUCCAAAGAAGCUAAAGGUUUUUGAUAGUUCCUGUAUUCUGCCACAGUACUUUAUACAGUCCACAGCUGAACCCAAAAUGCAUGACCAUGAUUUUCAACCUGAACUGAAGAAAAUGAUUUUUGAAUUCCAGAAGGAGUUCAAUAAUGCUUAUCAUGCUGAGAUUUUGUAAGGGAUUUUUGGCUAUCCCUGGGACCAAAAAGCAGCUUAAGCCCCAAAGUCUUAACUCACAGGAGAAAGUGGAAAGGGCCAUGCAAGAAUUCACAUCAGGAAGAACAAACUAUACAUCAGCUCCUAGCUACAGUUGGACUAGAUGAUCUUAGAUGUCUUCUCCAACCUGGGUGAUUCUAUAAUUCUAUGAUUAACUCUUAGCAACACGGCUGCUAAAGAGUUCAGUCCCAGUCCACACUAACAAGUGAUGGAAUUAGCCCAUUACCUGCUGGUAGACAUCUGGGCUGCAAUGUGGUCAGGAUUGUAGCUCCAGAGCAGAGCUCUUUAGUCUCAAUCUUACAGUUGCAAUUGAGCACUGGGGCGAGAAUAGUUUACUGUAUCUUAUAUUGCUGAUUAAUACCUACACAAAGCUUAUGAGGUCUCACCUUUUGAUUUCCUAUUUGGAGGAAUCCAAAAGUGGACAAGUUUUUUUUUUUUUUUUUUUUGUGUCGGAGAAUUAAAAAUAAGAUUGUCUUUAUUUCUAUCAAGACAAUGGCCCAAUAAAUCUUGUGGUACUGCCAUAAACCUGGUCUUUCCUAAUUGAAUAGAAGCGACACAAGGCAUUUGUUUGUUUUUAUCUCCUUUGUAGUGAGAUAUCUGGGACAGCCUAUCCACACAGCCUGAUGGAGAAUGUUGUGUUGGUUUUUUUUUUUAGUCACUUGGCUUCCUUUUACAUUCUGUUGUGCUUAGGAAAGAUAGAGUUAUCAUAAAUCAAGUGGAAGCCAGGCGGGAUAAUUGGAUUAAUCAAACCUAUUUACUUGAGUAAAGUAAUGCUUGAGUAAAUAUAACUCACACUGAGUUUCAGAAAUACUUUCACUGGUUAUAUGCUUGAUUAUAGGUUACAAAUUGCUAAUUUUUCAGCCCUGGUUUUAUU